RNAcentral lists this ribosomal RNA (493 nucleotides) under uncultured bacterium. Its description in RNAcentral is "partial 16S ribosomal RNA". It matches the Rfam family "Bacterial small subunit ribosomal RNA", at positions 29 to 507 of the family's 1533-position model. The record is from RNAcentral.
ACGAACGCUGGCGGCGUGCUUAACACAUGCCAGUCGAACGGUGAAGCGCCUUCCUUUUUGGUGGGUGUGGAUGAGUGGCGAACGGGUGAGUAACACGUGAGUAACCUGCCCCCUUCUUCUGGAUAACCGCAUGAAAGUGUGGCUAAUACGGGAUAUUCUGGGUCUGUCGCAUGAUGGGUCUGGGAAAGAUAUUGUUUCGGUGGGGGAUGGGCUCGCGGCCUAUCAGCUUGUUGGGGGGGUGAUGGCCUACCAAGGCGGUGACGGGUAGCCGGCCUGAGAGGGUGGACGGUCACACUGGGACUGAGACACGGCCCAGACUCCUACGGGAGGCAGCAGUGGGGAAUAUUGCACGAUGGGCGCAAGCCUGAUGCAGCGACGCCGCGUGAGGGAUGGAGGCCUGCGGGUUGUGAACCUCUUUCGCCAGUGAAGCAGGCCUGCCUCGUUUGUGGGUGGGUUGACGGUAGCUGGAUAAGAAGCGCCGGCUAACUACGUG